Photinus pyralis (common eastern firefly) is the source of this 426-nucleotide long non-coding RNA. RefSeq lists it as uncharacterized. NCBI's taxonomy places the organism in Eukaryota, Metazoa, Arthropoda, Insecta, Coleoptera, Lampyridae. The record is from RefSeq and is a predicted model, not a curated record. The transcript is spliced from 2 exons.
GUAUCUAUGCCCAUACCAAUUCUCCUCGGAUCCCAUAAUUGAUCUCGAACGAAUGCUGUUAAAAAUUGGAUUUAAAGUUUUACAGUUGAGCAUCGAACCAAAGGAUAUCAUGUUGCCGACGGAGUCCGCUUCCGCAUUUAUGUUUUCGCACUCGCCAAUCGAGUUGCCUCUAGAUUUUCCGUCAGCCUGCCUAGAUGUUUUAAGGGAGUGGAAUUAUGUACAUACCAAAGAAGAUAAUAAAGAAUAUUGUUGCCUGAAGUAUCAUAUGAUUUUUGGAUAUGUUGCAAAACUUUAGUAAUCUGUUUUAUGUAUAAAUUUAUGUUAUGUAUAUUAUUUAUCUAUAGAUGUUUUAUAUGAACAGGCUUUUUAUACAUGUAAGGAAAACCAAGAAAAAUUUUAAAUUAAAUGGCUUUAUCGAUUUUAAAA